RNAcentral lists this ribosomal RNA (492 nucleotides) under uncultured bacterium. RNAcentral describes it as "partial 16S ribosomal RNA". It matches the Rfam family "Bacterial small subunit ribosomal RNA", at positions 29 to 507 of the family's 1533-position model. The record is from RNAcentral.
AGUGAACGCUGGCGGUAGGCCUAACACAUGCAAGUCGAACGGCAGCACAGUAAGAGCUUGCUCUUACGGGUGGCGAGUGGCGGACGGGUGAGGAAUACAUCGGAAUCUACUUUUUCGUGGGGGAUAACGUAGGGAAACUUACGCUAAUACCGCAUACGACCUACGGGUGAAAGCAGGGGAUCUUCGGACCUUGCGCGAUUGAAUGAGCCGAUGUCGGAUUAGCUAGUUGGCGGGGUAAGGGCCCACCAAGGCGACGAUCCGUAGCUGGUCUGAGAGGAUGAUCAGCCACACUGGAACUGAGACAUGGUCCAGACUCCUACGGGAGGCAGCAGUGGGGAAUAUUGGACAAUGGGCGCAAGCCUGAUCCAGCCAUACCGCGUGGGUGAAGAAGGCCUUCGGGUUGUAAAGCCCUUUUGUUGGGAAAGAAAAGCAGCAGGUUAAUACCCCGCUGUUCUGACGGUACCCAAAGAAUAAGCACCGGCUAACUUCGUG